This 464-nucleotide ribosomal RNA is filed under the name uncultured bacterium. RNAcentral's name for it is "partial 16S ribosomal RNA". It matches the Rfam family "Bacterial small subunit ribosomal RNA", at positions 28 to 507 of the family's 1533-position model. The record is from RNAcentral.
GACGAACGCUGGCGGCGUGCUUAACACAUGCAAGUCGAACGGAAAGGCCCCUUUGGGGGUACUCGAGUGGCGAACGGGUGAGUAACACGUGAGUAACCUGCCCUUGACUUCGGGAUAACUUCAGGAAACUGGGGCUAAUACCGGAUAGGAAUCCUUGCUGCAUGGUGGGGGUUGGAAAGCUUCGGCGGUUUUGGAUGGACCCGCGGCUUAUCAGCUUGUGGGUGGGGUAGGGGCUUCCCAAGGCUUUGACGGGUACCCGCCCUGGGGGGGGACCCGGCCCCAUGGGGCUUGGAUACGGCCCAGACUCCCACCGGGGGCAGCAGUGGGGAAUAUUGCACAAUGGGCGGAAGCCUGAUGCAGCAACGCCGCGUGCGGGAUGACGGCCUUCGGGUUGUAAACCGCUUUCAGCAGGGGCGAAGCUUGUGGUGACGGUACCUGCAGAAGAAGCACCGGCUAACUACGUG